This is a non-coding RNA of Podarcis lilfordi (Lilford's wall lizard), 2874 nucleotides long. The record is from the annotation of a GenBank genome assembly. NCBI's taxonomy places the organism in Eukaryota, Metazoa, Chordata, Lepidosauria, Squamata, Lacertidae.
CUUUGGGGGGGGAGUCAUGACAAAGUGGUAUCAUGGUGAUUUAAGUGUAGCUUGUGAAUGUGACCCAAGUCUGCUCUCAGCUUGCUGCUGAGACUGAAAAGCAAUUGAAUUUGGAGUCGUUGCCCUUGAUGUCCUGAAUGCGAAAAAGAGCAAAAGGGAUCCAGCCAUUCUGUUUGGUUGAACUGUAUGCAAGCUUAUUGCUCAUACAAUAUGAGUCAUUUUGAGGGGGGUUUUUGUCCCCUUUUCCUCUGAGUUUCUUCAAGAGACAACCCAGGGCUGCGCUCUUCUAUAUUUCCUAGCUCCAUCAGGGGAUUCUAUGACAUUUUCAAUUACUGUAGAGAUGCUUUUUCAGCCACGAAGGAAGAGUGCAGGUCUCGUCUUUUGCAAGAUAGCAUCUUCUCCUCUCCCCCUGCCACCAGCCCCAAAGACACCAGCACCUUUCUUCCACUUGCUUUCUUUGGCACGGCCCACUGAUCACAUCAUUUGGUUACCAUGACAGUUCUUAGCGCUCCAGCUCUGGCAGCAGAGUUCACUGGGGGCAGAAACUCUGGGAUGCUGUCUUCUUGUUUGGUGAAAACCCACCAUCGCAAUGAUGCUCUUGAGGCCUCUGAAGGCUAUGAGUCAAGCGGAAGUUUCAGUACAUAUGCAGCGCAUCAGAGAGAGGUAGAUCAAGGUCGAUUUUUUUUCCUACCUUGGAAACAACAACACAGAUAGGUUUGUCAACAUUCAUUUCCCAUCGUAGCUAAAGUAAGGUUACCAGAUUUUUUCCAAAUAAUCCAGGGACACUUUUUUUUUAAGAGGAAAAAACGUUAUUCAAAAAAUUACUAUUUUUUUAAAAAAGUAAUAUCUUCUCUUCUGUGGUCUCCUCUGUCACACGGCCUUCCUCUGGGCCCCAUCCUGCUCUCUUGGAGCGCUAGCCACCAUGGAGUAGGCUCAGGUCGGGGCUGGGCUCGGCCAUGUGUCCUAGCCCUCCCGGUGCUCUCCUACCUCUCCUCAAUGGUGGCAGUGCAGCAAUGUUGUGGACGGAUUUUGUCUGGAGACAGAUUUGUAAAUCCGGGGACUGUUCCCAGGAAACGGGGACAUCUGGUAACCAUAAGCUAAAGCUAAACCAAAGGUGGAAAAUUUCAGGCCUGUAGGGCAUUGGAGGAGGGAAAUAGAUAACACUUUCUGAGAAAUAUGAAAAAUGCAUCCUAACCAGUCUUUUGGUGACCACAACAAGCAAGGAUGAGUUUUAUUCCUUCCCCUGCUAUUGCCCAGUCCUGAGAAUUGCCAGAAUUAUGUCUGGGAAAAAAGCCUUUGAAUGGCUACAGUAGAAGACUUCUUUCAAACCACAUUUCAGUAAUGGGGGGAGCAGAAAAAGCAGGACCCCACAGGCAGCAGGUAGGGCCUCUGUAGGGUGCAUGUAUCAUGGGCAUUGUGUCUGGAGGCGGUUGGAGGAUGGAUGGCAGCUAACAGAUUGAGGUUGAAUCCUGACAAGACAGAAGUACUGUUUUGGGGGACAGGAUGCAGGCAGGUGUGGAGGACUCCCUGGUCCUAAAUGGGGUAACUGUGCCCCUGAAGGACCAGAUGUGCAGCCUGGGAGUCAUUUUGGACUUGCAGCUGUCCAUGGAGGCGCAGGUCAAUUCUGUGUCCAGGGCAGCAGUCUACCAGCUCCAUCUGGUAUGCAGGCUGAGACCCUACCUGCCUGCAGACUGUCUCACCAGAGUGGUGCAUGCUCUGGUUAUCUCUUGCUUGCACUACUGCAAUGCGCUCUUUGGGGGGCUACAUUUGAAGGUGACCUGGGAACUGCAAUUAAUCCAGAAUGUGGCAGCUAGACUGGUGACUGGGAGUGGCCACUGAGACCACAUAACACUGGUCCUGAAAGACCUACAUUGGCUCCCAGUAUGUUUUCGAGCACAAUUCAAAGUGUUGGUGCUGACCUUUAAAGCCCUAAAUGGCCUCAGUCCAGUAUACCUGAAGGAGCGUCUCCACCCUCAUCGUUCUACCCAGACACUGAGGUCCAGCGCCAAGGGCCUUCUGGUGGUUCCCUCACUGUGGGAAGCCAAGUUACAAGGAAAUAGGCAGAGGGCCUUCUCGGUAGUGUCACCCCCCCCCCCAGUGGAACGCCCUCCUACCAGAUGUCAAAGAGAACAACAAGACUUUUAGAAGACAUCUGAAGGCAGCCCUGUUUAGGGAAGCUUUUAAUGUUUGAUGGACUACUGGAUUUUAAUAUUUUAAUGGGAGUGUCUGGGGAAACCCAGCCAGAUGGGAGGGGUAUAAAUAAUACAUUCUUCUUCUUCUUCUUCUUCUUCUUCUUCUUCUUCUUCUUCUUCUUCUUCUUCUUCUAUAGAAAGAUGCUGAAAUCCUUGCUUAUACCAGUUCUUGGUCUCUUCUCCCUUCCAUUUCUACGAUUCCCUAGGCACAAAGGUACUUCACCUCAAAUCAUAUCAAUUAGUGGUGGAAAAGAAAUGGCAGCUAGGUAGCAGCGUAUAUCCUCAGCCCCUUGCAGUGAUCCCUGGAGUAUACUCAGUACUACGGUGUAAAUAUUUCAAGCAACAGGGCUCCUGGUUCCUUGGGAGAUCUUAACAGCAGCCUCACAGCUGGGAUGUGAUUACUGCCAUCAUUUCUCUUAGCUGCAUCCCAUUAACUGCAGCAGCUCAUCGUCUUGCUCUCUGCAAGGAAUGUCUGUGGAGUGCUGGCAUUGUAUUGCAGUGGCGCCUAGUCAGCUUCCUCAGAGGAGAAUCUGUCAUACUCCCAGGUGUCCUUCUGAGAAGAGAUGGACAAGGAGAAGCAGAGCUGAGAAUGCCUCUGAGUUCAGGGAGACUUCAUAAAAAUGCAAUGGACCAUAUGCAGCCUAUAUCUCACAAAUAAAUCAUCUCACAAAUAAAACUGGGC